This 253-nucleotide ribosomal RNA is filed under the name uncultured bacterium. RNAcentral describes it as "partial 16S ribosomal RNA". It matches the Rfam family "Bacterial small subunit ribosomal RNA", at positions 524 to 776 of the family's 1533-position model. The record is from RNAcentral.
GACGUAGGGCGCGAGCGUUGUCCGGAUUUAUUGGGCGUAAAGAGCUCGUAGGCGGCUUGUUGCGUCGACUGUGAAAACCCGCGGCUUAACCGCGGGCUUGCAGUUGAUACGGGCAGGCUAGAGUUCGGUAGGGGAGACUGGAAUUCCUGGUGUAGCGGUGAAAUGCGCAGAUAUCAGGAGGAACACCGGUGGCGAAGGCGGGUCUCUGGGCCGAAAUUGACGCUGAGGAGCGAAAGCGUGGGGAGCAAACAGG